CAAGCACGGAGGACACACAAAGGAGACAAGGGAAGUUGAACAGAUUUAUUGAAGAGCACAAAUGAAAAGAGGAAUCCGGGUCUGGCCCAGCAGGUCAGAUGCGGCUGAGGUUGCACAGGGAAGUGGGCAAGUAGGCCCGGCAAGCACGAAGGCAGGUGAUACUUUCGGCACGAGUGAAAAAAGGAGCCGUUUGAAACAACUGGGCCGUACGGAGCUCAGACUUCAACCCAAUCCAAAACGUCCGUCUACGAGCCUUCAUCGCACAACUUCGGUGACCGGCCAACAUGUACGGCAAUGUGGCUUUAUUCUCAACGCUGAUAUGUUAGCGUCAGUAAACUGGUAAUAAUUGUGACGGCCUCUGUGUGGUUCAUUGAGGCCACUCUGUGGGAGUGAUACCUCUCUAGUAACCAUCUUUGUCCGGAG
Gasterosteus aculeatus aculeatus (three-spined stickleback) is the source of this 423-nucleotide long non-coding RNA. The record is from Ensembl. NCBI's taxonomy places the organism in Eukaryota, Metazoa, Chordata, Actinopteri, Perciformes, Gasterosteidae.